Molecule: long non-coding RNA, 723 nt
Filed under: Cricetulus griseus (Chinese hamster)
Lineage: Eukaryota; Metazoa; Chordata; Mammalia; Rodentia; Cricetidae
Description: lncRNA (ENSCGRG00015042556.1)
Source: RNAcentral
GUUGGGAUGGGGUGCGAGGUUGUUUUGCUUUGAGAGGGCCUCUUGGAGCCCAGGUUUGCCUGAAUCCUCUGUGUGACUGAGGAUGACUUUAAACUAUUUAUCCUCCUGCACCCCCCACUUCCCAAAUGCAAGGAUUUCAGCUGUGUAUCAUCAUGCUAGGCUUGUUCCGACUUAAUUGGGAGAAUUGGUACUAGACGGAGACCAUUUAAGUAAAUAGCGGUUAAAUACAUAACGCAUCCUAGACCUAUCUGAAUUCACGGAAGGAAAUUUUUUUACUGGUUUGGUUUGUGUUUUGUUUUGUUUUUAGGGGGGGAGAGUCCGAGACAGCGUUUCUCUGCAUAACAGCUCUGGCUGUUCUGGAACUCACUCUGUAGACCAGGCUGUGCUCAGACUUAGAGAUCCGCCUUCUUCUGACUCCAGAGUGCUGGGAUUAAAGGCGUGCACCAUCACACCCAGUCUGUUUUUAAAGGUUAUUCUCUCCAUAUUUAUUUAUUGUGUUUCCCACAAGGAACCCAAUGUGUUAGCCCUGGCCUUUGAUCCCAGCACUCAGAAGACAGAAACAGAUUUUUGGGACACCAAACAGCUUCCCUAGGAUCUCUCCACACCAGCAUAUCACAAGUAGCCUGCCAAUCAGGAUAUAGAACUCUCAGCUACCUCUCCAGCACCAUGUCUGUCUGCUUUCCACUGUGCUUCCUGCCAUCAUGAUAACGGACUAAACCCCUG